Molecule: ribosomal RNA, 835 nt
Filed under: uncultured archaeon
Lineage: Archaea
Description: bacterial SSU rRNA
Rfam family: Archaeal small subunit ribosomal RNA
Source: RNAcentral
UAGUCGAGUGACUCAGGCAAAACGAGUCACGGCGCACAGCUCAGUAACACGUGGCUAAUCUGCCCUUGAGACGAGAAUAACCCCGGGAAACUGGGGCUAACUCUCGAUAGGCGAAGAACUCUGGAAUGAGUCUUCACCCAAAAAGCUUCACGUUAUCCUCGUGAAGUCGCUCAAGGAUGAGGCCGCGACCGAUCAGGUUGUUGGUGAGGUAAUGGCUCACCAAGCCUUUUACCGGUGCGGGCCGUGGGAGCGGGAGCCCGGAGAUGGGUACUGAGACAAGGACCCAGGCCCUACGGGGCGCAGCAGUCGCGAAAACUUUGCAAUACACGAAAGUGUGACAGGGCUAUCCCGAGUGCCAUCCGCUGAGGAAGGCUUUUACCCAGUCUAGAACGCUGGGGGAAUAAGGAGAGGGCAAGUCUGGUGUCAGCCGCCGCGGUAAUACCAGCUCUCCGAGUGGUGUGGAUGUUUAUUGGGCCUAAAGCAUCCGUAGCUGGCUAAGUUAGUCCCCUGUUAAAUCCACCGAAUUAAUCGUUGGAUUGCGGGGGAUACUGCUUGGCUAGGGGACGAGAGAGGCAGACGGUAUUUUCGGGGUAGGGGUGAAAUCCUAUAAUCCCGGGAAGACCACCAGUGGCGAAGGCUGUCUGCUAGAACGCGCCCGACGGUGAGGGAUGAAAGCUGGGGGAGCGAACCGGAUUAGAUACCCGGGUAGUCCCAGCUGUAAACGAUGCAGGCUAGGUGUUUGGACGGCCACGUGCCGUUCUAGUGCCGCAGGGAAGCUGUUAAGCCUGCCGCCUGGGGAGUACGAUCGCAAGAUUGAAACUAAGGGAAUGGCGGG